CGAGGGCGGGGCAGAUUCAUCAACGCCCAUGUAGAGGGCAGUGUCGCCCAGGCGCACAAGAUAGUCGCCGUCGGGGAUGACGGCCUGUGUGGCGCGUAUGGCGAGGAAGGCGUCUCUCUGGCGUCUGGUCUGUGCCGCGCGCACAAAGUAGACGACGACAAUUGCGAUCAACGCGCCGACAAACAAUACCAGUGCUGUCACCCAUACCCACGCCCACCGGCGCAGCGGCGAUUCGAUCUCGGUGGCCGGCACGUUGACCAGCGCCACCGGUUCGCUCACCUGCACUGCACUCAUUGUAUCGCGGCCCAGAGGAGGCAGUCUGAUGGUGACUCUCUGUCUUUUUUUUUCUCUUUCUGUUGCGCAAACACACAAGGCGCAAAUGUUGCGGCGCACGGUAUCGUCUUUUGCCUUGGAGGCGGGCGCCAUUCCGACGACCAGAGGUUCUGCGCUGCGCACACACACACACGACCCAAGUUGGGCGAGGUCAGUCGCCACAAAUCCUUUUUUCUUUUUUUUCUUUUUGAACAGACACAACUUUUCUCACUAUUUUUUUGGGGUGGGUCUUUGGGUUGUGUGUUUUAUUUUUCCUAAUGUUGGCGCUUCUGUAGUCGAAAAAGGAGCGCCAACGCAAAGAGCACGACCGCGGCACAGGCGACUGCGUACGCGAGCAUGCCCUCGACGCUGCCGGUGACCAAUGAGACCCCCGUCACAAGAAGAAGCCCGAGGAUGGCCCAGUAGACGGCGGCGGGCGAUACGUGUUUGCACGCCAUGUCGCCCAACUUGGUGCCGACGGCGCUUCCUACGGUCGCCACCGCAUAAUACGGCCACUGGCCGUGCCAGUCAAAGAGCCCGUGUCUGGUCGGCAGGGCGGGUGUGGGUGAUCCGUAUAUAUGUGUGUGUGGUGUUUUUUAAAAAAAGUGUCAGCCAAAUCGUUGGUCGCGCGCGCACAGACGGAACCCGAGACGCACCAACACAAGGAAAAAACAAAAAUCCAAACCUGGAAAAAACAAAAGUGGUGGUGG
This 1022-nucleotide long non-coding RNA is filed under the name Pandoravirus celtis. Its description in RNAcentral is "hypothetical ncRNA". The record is from RNAcentral.